This 449-nucleotide ribosomal RNA is filed under the name uncultured Alphaproteobacteria bacterium. Its description in RNAcentral is "bacterial SSU rRNA". It matches the Rfam family "Bacterial small subunit ribosomal RNA", at positions 89 to 572 of the family's 1533-position model. Lineage: Bacteria; Pseudomonadati; Pseudomonadota; Alphaproteobacteria. The record is from RNAcentral.
UACUUAGUGGCAGACGGGUGAGUAACAUGUGGGUAUCUUCCCUUUGGCCUGGAAUAACACGAGGAAACUUGUGCUAAUACCGGAUAAGUCUUUACGGAGAAAGCUUUAUGCACCAUUGGAUGAGCCUGCACUUGAUUAGUUUGUUGGUGGGGUAAUGGCCUACCAAGACUUUGAUCAAUAGCUGAUUUGAGAGGAUGAUCAGCCACAUUGGGACUGAGACACGGCCCAAACUCCUACGGGAGGCAGCAGUGGGGAAUCUUGCACAAUGGAGGAAACUCUGAUGCAGCGAUGCCGCGUGAGUGAAGGAGGCCUUUGGGUUGUAAAGCUCUUUCGUCGGGGAAGAAAAUGACUGUACCCGAAUAAGAAGGUCCGGCUAACUUCGUGCCAGCAGCCGCGGUAAUACGAAGGGACCUAGCGUAGUUCGGAAUUACUGGGCUUAAAGAGUUCGU